RNAcentral lists this ribosomal RNA (465 nucleotides) under uncultured bacterium. RNAcentral describes it as "bacterial SSU rRNA". It matches the Rfam family "Bacterial small subunit ribosomal RNA", at positions 330 to 793 of the family's 1533-position model. The record is from RNAcentral.
ACCAGACUCCUACGGGAGGCAGCAGUGAGGAAUAUUGGUCAAUGGGCGGGAGCCUGAACCAGCCAUGCCGCGUGAAGGCGAGUGCCCGACGGGCGUUAAACUUCUUUUGUGCGGGAGCAAUAAGGGCCACGCGUGGCCCGAUGAGAGUACCGCACGAAUAAGCAUCGGCUAACUCCGUGCCAGCAGCCGCGGUAAUACGGGGGAUGCGAGCGUUAUCCGGAUUUACUGGGUGUAAAGGGAGCGCAGGCGGCACGGCAAGCCUGAUGUGAAAGCCCGCGGCCCAACCGCGGGACUGCAUUGGGAACUACCGGGCUGGAGUGCCGGAGAGGUAGGCGGAAUUCCUAGUGUAGCGGUGAAAUGCGUAGAUAUUAGGAGGAACACCAGUGGCGAAGGCGGCCUACUGGACGGUGACUGACGCUGAGGCUCGAAAGCGUGGGGAGCAAACAGGAUUAGAUACCCGGGUAC